UAUUAGACCAACUAAAUAGUUGGGAAAAUUUAUUCUUUGCAAGCUUUCAGGCACAAACACCCUUCUUCAGGCAUAUUGAGAGUCUGUAGAGAAGUGGCUUAUCUUAAACCAUUUUGGUUACUUCAUGCUUGUUUUCCUUAUGGUCUCUUUAUCAACUAAAUCCAUAUGUUAAUACAAUAUACACACUAAUAACUAGGUUUAUAUACAGUAUUUGUAAAUAGUAACAGAGCAGGUCUAGUCUCCAGUUCUUUCACAAUUCUUUAUAGCAGCAAAAUUUAUUAUGAUGCUGUGUUCUUCCAUUGAUUUGCUCACAAAAUAACUUGUGACUUCAGUGAGUGUUUCACAUAUUGAAAGGUAGUAGGAUGUAGUUCAUUGUCUGUUGUUUAGGAUUUCCUGAUUUGUUACAUGACUUUAAAAGUGUGCUUAGAAGUAGGUAGAACAAUAGCUGAGAUAACCUUUUGAAAUAUACAGCUACAAAAUUUGGUCUUGCAAGCCGAAUCCCAGUAUAGUAAGUGGGACUUCCUCGAGCAGAGUAACUGCAAGAUUGCUAAGAAUGUAAAAGGCCCAAUCUGUAAAAAAAAAAAAAAUUACUCUUUACACAUUUUCUGUACAUAUUACAUUCUUUCAUGGUACUUUGCAAAGUUAAAUUUUAUGACUGUAUUUGCAUUUUACUUGCAUGUAUCCUAUUAAAUGCAGAAUUAUAAAAGAAAAAUAUAUGUCCAUAUUACUGUAGUGCAUAAAUUAUGCAGAUUAUACUUGGGUAUCUAAUGUUUAUGUCCUAAUACAGCAAUUCUCAACCUUUUGGCCCUGCAGGACAGAUGAGUAGCACAAGACUAGUCUCUGAGCCAGGUUCCUUGUGGGGUUAGUACCCAGGGUUGAGCCCUGUGCCACCCCAGCCCUGUACACCUGUAUGAGACUCUGUGCUCCUCUGGUCCCACGUGCCCAGAUUGAGCCCUGUGCUGCCUCUGCCCAAUGCCAUCACUACAUUGACCCCGUUCUACAUAAGCCCUGCUGUGUGUGCCAGGAUUUGGCCACACACCAUCCCAGCUUAAAGGUCCCCCAUCUAUCACUCAGAACCAUGUUAUCUGGCCCACCAGGCUCCCCAGAGAUCCAGAAAUCUGGUAGCAGGGAAGUGGCAACUAACACUGAGACUGCUCCCUCACCACCAAAUUUUCAGUCCCAUGGGGAGCUCUACAGGCUGGAUGAUACUGCUCUGCAAGCUGGAUCUGGCUUGCAGGCCAAGGGAUGAGCACUUCUGUCCUAGUAUAGUUGCUUCUGUUUCAGAACUUGGGCAAACUUCUGCAUUUCUAAACUGAGCAUACCAUCCACUGAAGCCUUGACUUAAAUACCACAGAGUUUUGACACUUAAAAGCCUGUGCAUAUAAACAAUCUUGAGUUUGUCUUUCCUUUGUGAUGUGGGGAAUUUUCAUGGAAAAUAACACAAUCAGUAUUAAAUAGUUGAAAAAAAAAUCAAUGCCAGAAUAUACCUCUAGAUCCAUAUUCUACCAUCAGACACAUGCAGAACUGCUUAAGUAAGCGGGACCCACACAUGUAUCUAGGUUUAGAGAUUGGUGCGUAGGUAAUAUUAUAUUUUUGAAUGCUUUGGUUGAAAAAAAAAAAAAAAAAAAAGAAGGCGGUUCCAGGGCAUAUCCUUUUAAAUUUAGAUACACUGUGGUGCAGGUAUUAAAUAUAGGUGCGAAUAGCCUAAAAUCUCCAUUUUUAAGAGUCAUUAAACUCUUAAGGGCAUAUUAAAUGUGUGCCCUUAAUGCACCUUAAAUCAGGCUAUAGUGACUUAAAUUGGUACGUGGAGAUGCACCCAAUCUCUCUUAAAGCUCUAUGAUACUUUCUUUUACAUACUACUACCACUUUAGGCCUAGAUUCCAGAAUGCAGCUAUUCUUAGGACAGCACUAAAGGAUGUAUUAAACUUAAUUGCUGUCCUGAAUGGGGAUGAAAUUAAACUCUACUUAAAUGCUUUCCUGAACCAGGACUUAAAAUGUUUCAAAUAGAUUUUCAGUAACACUUAAUUUGUUUUCUUUUCUUUUUUUUUUUUUGAUAUUUUCAAAAUAUUUUUGUCCAGAACAAAAUAACCUUCCAUUUCCUCUCACUUAAACUGCACAUAAAAAUAUCCAACUUUGCACCCUGUGUGUCAUCCUAUCACACACAACAUGAAAGUAUUUGUUAUCCCUGUAUAGACUUUCAUAUUGAAAAUCUCCAGAGAUUAGCACUUUAAAAAAAUCAAGAUACGAAUGUUAUUCUGUAGCAGAACCUCAAAUACAAUGGCCUGGCCGAGCUCACAGCUUGAAGUGCAUGUUUCUUUUGGGAAAAGUAAAAAGGCUUUUUCACUUGUAUACAGAAGAGAGCCAGCAUAUGUAGGUCUUUUCAUACUUUGGUUCCAAACUUAUUUGUAGGACACCCAAAACUAAUGAAGAGAGUUUUAAUUUUCCUUCUUUUUAAACAAGUAAUAUGUCAUUUUUUAGGGAUGAGAAAAAGUAGCCAAUGCUUUACAAACUGGGACCUGUGAUUUCUUUUUCACAGGUUAUCAGGUGUUCAAAUGUACAUACGGUAUGCUGCUGUCGAGUCCAAAUCAGACAUAAGCUGCAACUAAGCAAACUUUGUACGUGACCUAAGAAAGGAGCAGCUUAGGACAAAUCAGGAAAAAAGCAAACAAAAAGACCCUUAACGUUAGAACAGCUAAUCUAUUAUGUACUUAUAGAAAGUUCAAGAAAAGAUGUAUGGCUAGAAUAAGGGUAGAAAGAUACUGAGAUCAACUGUUAGUAAAAUGUUUGGUGCUUUCGAUGGAAUUAAAUGUCUGUAGCCUAUCUGGCAGUAUAUUUUGUUUAAUAUUUGACAAACUUUUUAUUGCCAUUUGUAUUGAACCAGAGCAAAGUGGGCUCAGUAGGGGUAAUGUCCCUACUGUGGCUGGCAGACAAAUACAUAUGCAUUAAGGACAUUCACUUCAUUUUAGCACAUCUGUGACAUCCUCCAGCCCCUCUGCUCUUAGUUUUGCUUAGGUCCUCUGCAUUGGAUCAAAUUUCCCCUUUUGGGAUUCUUUUCAAGUCCUGUUUUCUGGUAUAAUUACAUGAAUGCAUGUGUGAUUUUGUACAAGUAAGUAGUUCAGCUGCUUUAUUACAUUUUAAAAGUGAUUCUUGGCAAACCCCCCCCCCAGUACUACUUAGAAGCAGUACCAGUAAGGACUUGAGCAAAAAAGAAAACAACACCGCCCCCCC
Molecule: long non-coding RNA, 3228 nt
Organism: Gavialis gangeticus (Gharial)
Lineage: Eukaryota; Metazoa; Chordata; Crocodylia; Gavialidae
Exons: 2
Source: RefSeq, a predicted model, not a curated record